This 468-nucleotide ribosomal RNA is filed under the name uncultured bacterium. RNAcentral describes it as "partial 16S ribosomal RNA". It matches the Rfam family "Bacterial small subunit ribosomal RNA", at positions 28 to 507 of the family's 1533-position model. The record is from RNAcentral.
GAUGAACGCUGGCGGCGUGCUUAACACAUGCAAGUCGAACGGAAAGGCCCAAGCUUGCUUGGGUACUCGAGUGGCGAACGGGUGAGUAACACGUGGGUGAUCUGCCCUGCACUUCGGGAUAAGCCUGGGAAACUGGGUCUAAUACCGGAUAGGACGAUGGUUUGGAUGCCAUUGUGGAAAGUUUUUUCGGUGUGGGAUGAGCUCGCGGCCUAUCAGCUUGUUGGUGGGGUAAUGGCCUACCAAGGCGUCGACGGGUAGCCGGCCUGAGAGGGUGUACGGCCACAUUGGGACUGAGAUACGGCCCAGACUCCUACGGGAGGCAGCAGUGGGGAAUAUUGCACAAUGGGCGCAAGCCCGAUGCAGCGACGCCGCGUGGGGGAUGACGGCCUUCGGGUUGUAAACUCCUUUCGCUAGGGACGAAGCGUUUUUGUGACGGUACCUGGAGAAGAAGCACCGGCUAACUACGUG